Molecule: long non-coding RNA, 2181 nt
Organism: Musa acuminata AAA Group (dessert banana)
Lineage: Eukaryota; Viridiplantae; Streptophyta; Magnoliopsida; Zingiberales; Musaceae
Exons: 2
Source: RefSeq, a predicted model, not a curated record
GAGGUGGAGGAGGAGGCGGCGGUGGUCGAGGAGUCUACCACCUUGCGCGCCACCGUUUUCUGCUCCACGGACCUUCUCACACCAGCCGCCGCCGCCGCUGCCGCAGCGUAUCCCCUCCUGGAUGAAUCGAACGGAGCAGGAAUUACGAGGGGAGAAGAAGUAGAUGCUUAAAGAGACAAGCUCCUCAAACAAAGCCAGUCAAACUUAAUUACAUGAGUAAGUCAAUUUGGCAUCUCAAGUAUAGAACACUUUGGGCUUCUCUUCUGGAGUUGGAGUAGGUCGUUUAAUCGAGCUCGUUUCUUUGCUGAUGCCAUUUGCAUUCCCAGACAAUAUCUUCAUUAAAUCAUUCUAAAGGAAAAAAGAAGAAACAAUUAGUAGCAUAGAACCAAUAAAGCUUCGUAUCGCAGAAACCACUCCUACGAAGUCUUAGUGCUUGCCAUUUGUUCAUUUUCGUGUGUAUAUAUACAACGCCAACUUUAAAAGCUUCUGUCUAUUGAUUUUCCUCAAAAUAGAUCUAGAGAUAAUGAGAGAUUAGAUAAAAAGAAAAAGGGUGUAAUAAGGAGAGUUAUGUUUGAGUUUAGGAUAAUUUAAGAAAAUUUAUAAUUUAAUCUCACAUGAUGAAAAUUUUAAUUAUCUCUAUAAAAAAAAUAAAAAGGGUCCAACUACUUAAAUCUUUUAUCCAUCUUUAUAAUUUUUGUUUGAUUUUUGAUCUAUGAAUUUUUGUUUGAUUGAUGGUCUAUGAAUUUUCUUAGUGUAACAGAUUUUACAGACACCAAAAAUUAAAAUUGCUCAAGUUCUCUCCACAUCUUAAAAUUACACCUACGCCUAUUUAAGUUUUACGACUUGUUCAAGUCAAAUAUCUUUGAUGAUGCCAGUUUGAACACUAGUCAUUAUUUUUUCUUAGAGUAUGAUGUGAUUUGUAUGAAUAUUAAUUAUUCUUCAACUAUGACAGAUGAACAUUUUUCAACAUAUUUAUUACUAUAGCAUCCAUUUCGAUUAUUAAGAUAGUAAAUAAUAUAACGCAUAGUUAAACAUGUUAGGAUAAACUAGCAGGGGUGAAUUAGUGUUUUUGUAGAAGUUACGAAUUAGAAAAUCCUCGUUCGAUAAACUCCUAUCAGAAAGAUACUUAAUUUAAAAUCAGUAAGUAAUAAAGGUAAAUAUCAAAAGAAAAGAGUAUACCAAAUUUAUCGUGGUUCGAUCAUCGGCGUCGAUGUCCACUAAUGAUCUUUCUUUAAUGGGUGAAGACCAAUUACCCUUUUACAACUCUUUUCUCCUUUUGGCAAGUUUAGAAAAGAACUUUUACACCCCCUUUUUAUAAAGUUUUCCUCACACUCUCUCUUAGAAUAGUUUUUAAACUUUAGGAGGAGAGACUCAACACUUUACAAGGGUUUACAAAUUUAGAAUCACAGAGUUUUGUUCUACUUUCUUGCUCUCUUAAACAAAAAAUAUUAGGGUAUUUAUAGACCUCAAAUUACUUUAAAAAUUAGGGCCAAAAUUCAAAUCCUCGAGAUUUCGGGGUACUAGCGAUACCAUCGCUUAAGUUGGGCGGUACUACCGCCUGCAGUAUUGACACUAAGUAGUACCACCGCCUAACACUGGGCGAUACCACCACCCAAUCUAGUAGUAUCAUCGUCUAACACAAUCUCGGAGAUUGUGUCUUGGAGACUAAGCCGUUGGCGAUUCCACCACCUAGACCAGUGGUGCCACUACUUGACCCAACUUUUGGGUCACUAAAUAGGUCUUUCUCUUAGCUCAAAAUAGCUCCAUCUUAGGCCUAAUUGAGUUGACCUAAUUAUAUUCAAACCAACUCAAUUAGAACUCUAAACUAAUUCGAUCUAAAUAAAUUAUUACAAAGUAUGAAUCAUAUAUUGUCUGGCAUGUUAUUGGUUCUUUCGACGCUUUGUUUGAUCCUUCGGCGCAUCGUCCUCUCCUUCAACAUAAUGCCCAAUUGGCAUGUUAACUUCCUACAAUAUCCGAUCUCCUUGGUGCAAAGUUUGAUUCUUCCAGCUCGAUGCCCGAACUCACGGCACGAAGUCCUUCUAUCGGUACAUCGAUCAAUCUUCUAACAUGUUCAACUCUAGCCUUACGUCUGAUUCCUCCUAUUUCAAUCAAUUUGCCUCUCCUUGAUUGAAGCUAAUCCUGUGUUAAUCACAAACUCAUCAAUUGAUUUCAUCAUCAAAA